AUUGAACGCUGGCGGCAGGCCUAACACAUGCAAGUCGAGCGGAUGAAGGGAGCUUGCUCCUGGAUUCAGCGGCGGACGGGUGAGUAAUGCCUAGGAAUCUGCCUGGUAGUGGGGGAUAACGUCCGGAAACGGGCGCUAAUACCGCAUACGUCCUGAGGGAGAAAGUGGGGGAUCUUCGGACCUCGCGCUAUCAGAUGAGCCUAGGUCGGAUUAGCUAGUUGGUGGGGUAAAGGCCUACCAAGGCGACGAUCCGUAACUGGUCUGAGAGGAUGAUCAGUCACACUGGAACUGAGACACGGUCCAGACUCCUACGGGAGGCAGCAGUGGGGAAUAUUGGACAACGGGCGAAAGCCUGAUCCAGCCAUGCCGCGUGUGUGAAGAAGGUCUUCGGAUUGUAAAGCACUUUAAGUUGGGAGGAAGGGCAGUAAGUUAAUACCUUGCUGUUUUGACGUUACCAACAGAAUAAGCACCGGCUAACUUCGUG
This 484-nucleotide ribosomal RNA is filed under the name uncultured bacterium. RNAcentral describes it as "partial 16S ribosomal RNA". It matches the Rfam family "Bacterial small subunit ribosomal RNA", at positions 30 to 507 of the family's 1533-position model. The record is from RNAcentral.